This 77-nucleotide transfer RNA is filed under the name Acidobacteriota bacterium. RNAcentral's name for it is "Acidobacteria bacterium tRNA-Met". It matches the Rfam family "tRNA". Rfam says of the family: Transfer RNA (tRNA) molecules are approximately 80 nucleotides in length. Their secondary structure includes four short double-helical elements and three loops (D, anti-codon, and T loops). Further hydrogen bonds mediate the characteristic L-shaped molecular structure. tRNAs have two regions of fundamental functional importance: the anti-codon, which is responsible for specific mRNA codon recognition, and the 3' end, to which the tRNAs corresponding amino acid is attached (by aminoacyl-tRNA synthetases). tRNAs cope with the degeneracy of the genetic code in two manners: having more than one tRNA (with a specific anti-codon) for a particular amino acid; and 'wobble' base-pairing, i.e. permitting non-standard base-pairing at the 3rd anti-codon position. RNAcentral also lists the same sequence under 10 other names. The record is from RNAcentral. Lineage: Bacteria; Pseudomonadati; Acidobacteriota.
UGCGGGGUGGAGCAGUCUGGUAGCUCGUUGGGCUCAUAACCCAAAGGUCGUAGGUUCAAAUCCUACCCCCGCAACCA